Molecule: long non-coding RNA, 1465 nt
Organism: Nelumbo nucifera (sacred lotus)
Lineage: Eukaryota; Viridiplantae; Streptophyta; Magnoliopsida; Proteales; Nelumbonaceae
Source: RefSeq, a predicted model, not a curated record
UAGGGGUUUCACAUGCAAAUAUUUCAUGCGUGUAUCCAUUGCAUGAUACACGCGUGUGCAUGCUUCUCCCAUUUCUUCGAUAUGCUUCUUCCCAAGUUCGAAGGGAGAGCCCCUCUUCGAGAGAGCUCCUUCGCGUUUCGAUUUUCCCUGCCGUUCGAGAUGCUUCUUCCCAAGUUCGAAGGGAGAGCUCCUUUGUGCCUUUCUCCUCUUUGCGUAGAUCUGAUCGAUGGCUGUCCGAAGGAGAGCCUGUCAAUGAAAAUGCUAGCUGUUUCACCGGCACGCUUCAACAUUACCGGCGAGACCAAGUGUUGUAGUAGCAUCAUCGGCUCUGAUCUCUCCAUCAUCUUUCUUUUUUUUGUUUUUUUGCUCUCCCCACAUCACCCCUCUCGCACUUUCUCUCUCUCCCCCUCUCUCCCUAUUUCGGUUUUUUAGGUUUCCCCUUCUCUUGCUUCCGGCAGUAGCAGUAACAGUGGCAAACCUUGCCUUCUCUCUCACGAUUUUCUCUCUCUCCCUCUCUCUCCCCCCCUCUCUCUCAAUGGCGGUGAUCGAAAGAGCUUUCCGCCUGCAAAUGUGGUAUAUUUUUUAACAUGCAAGAACGGCGAAACAUCAGUGAGACCAAGUGUUGUAGUAGCAUCACCGGCUCCGAUCUCUCCGUCAUCUUCCAAUGCUUCUGCUCGGAAGAUGAUGAAACCUAUUGGAAAUAAGGAGAGGGUUCUUGAUCUGUAGCUUGAUUUAGAGAAGGUUGAUAGGGAAAGUUGUAGUAUUGGUGGCACCAAACAGCAACAACCGCAGCAAGUUCAACAGCAGCAGCCACCUCCUCCGCCGCCAACUCUACCAAAAUCUAGAAGAAAUGAUUUGAAGGCGGAGAAACCUGCUCAAUUCACCUCUUUUCCGUUGCCGAUGACUAUAGCUGGCUGGCCAGGCGGGCUUACUUCUCUGGAUACAUGCCACCACUUCAAGCUGUUGUGUCCAUGGAUGGGAGUUCUGGAUCUUCGACGCCUGGCCAGGUACCACAUUUGUUUCUCUCUCAACAGCGACCAAAGAGGUGCGCAACUCAUUACCACAUUGCUCGGAGCAUCUACUGUCAUCAGUAGUUUACAAGGACGAAUCCUUUCUGGCAUGCAGUUGCUGGUUCUGCAUCUUUUUAUGGGGCCAAGCCAUACAAUCUCAAUGUUGUGCCCCUGACAGAAAUCACUAUUCUUGGAAACCCAUUGCAGGGAAGCUUACCAAGUAGGAAUUUGAACUCGGUUUCAGACAAGGGCCAAGUUGCUAGCACAUUUUCUGGUCAUACUACGAAGGAUAAGAACUCUGCAGCGGCUACACCCAACUUUGUGGAUGCCUAGAGAAAGCAGCAUGUGCUCCAGCAAGCUCCACAGUCUGCUUCUUCUGGAAAUCUGCUGCUUGUUUAUUCUAAACUCAGUUGUCAUCCCAACGCUACAAUGGAUUUCGCCUGAUGAAUGCCAAA